AGCCUGGCCCCGGGCCCGGGAGGGGUGCCCGGAGCCCCGGGAGCGGCGGCACAGCCGGACUCACCCACAGCCGCUGGCCCUGCGCCCCGGGGAUUUUAACUUUUUAUACCGAUACCGCAACUAGUGAGAAAGUCUCCGCUGGUGCUGGUGGGACGUGGCUGAGCCCAGACGCCGAUGACCCCGGGGGAGCGGGGCUGGGGUUGGUGCCGCCCCGGACGGUGCAGGUUGGUUGGAUUUAUGGAGCCGGUAAAGACGAGAGCGAAACUGCACCGAAACCCUGCUCCUCUUCCUCCUCCUCCUUCACCAGGUGUCCCCCAGGGCACCCAAACUUCUGCUCUCUCACCCAACUCAUCUUCUUCAUCCUCUGCUGGGUUUCUGUUCUGGGUGGCCACGCUGGGUGCUGGGGAAGGACUCUGGUGGCCGUGUGACAGCAGGAUGAGGGGACAGAGGGGACAGCAGGACCGAGGGGACAGCGGGACAGAGGGGACAGCGGGACAGAGGGGACAGUGAGCUGCAGCCCCCACGGUGCCAUGGCAGGGGCUGCUCUGCCCCCAGCACCUCCUGGCAUCUCACAAACCAAACCACGCCAAGCCCAGGGGCGCUGGGCCAGCUCUGUGGCAGUGUCCCCGAGCCCUGGCUUUGUGUCCCCUGUGCUGCCGCUGGGGCUGAGCUGCCUGGGGGAUUCGGGCAUGCUUGGGCUGGGCCAACACACCUGCAUGUGCUGCUUUGGUGUCUCCACUCCAGCCAGGGCAGUCUGGGGUCCAAGCCCUGUCUGUCCUGGCCAGGACCUGCUGUCCUUCCCCUCCCCACGGCUCGGUCACACCGUUAAGGCAGCGGGUUCUGCCUGUCCCCCCCUGUCCCCCAGGGCCCCCUGGCAGCUCCAGCCAGCCCUGACUCUGGACCCCCUGUCCCCAUGGCUUCCCCUGUGGCAGAGGUGCACAAACCCCCAAACCUGGCACCACCUCCAGAUGUGUUCUCCAUCUACUUUUGCACAUUCUACAGCAUCGAUGUGGAAAGGGUUUGUUUGACUGCCAAGUGAAUAACUGAGUCGUUAACUUUCUAUGUUCAUAUCUUACAAUUGCAAUGUGAUUUUUGUUUGUUUUGUUUUUUUAGCAAGGAGCUUGUAAAGCACAACAUGGCCAUGAAAUCCCAUCAGCUUCCCAGCUGAAUGGUUUAUUGCCAUUAACUUUCACUGCCCCAAUACACCCCCAAUCAAUGUUUACAAAGAAAAGAAACAAAGAAAAACCAAGCCAAAACCUGUUAAAAUGUGUUUUAAAGAGCUGGGGAGAUGCCCCAGCCUAUGGGGGUGUGCUGCCCAUCCUGCCCGUGGCCCAGAGGGAGAUGAGAGAUGCCCAGGGUAGGGCCAGUGCCAAGGCUGGUGUCACCUCCAGAGGGUGUUGAGAGGGACCUGCUGUGCCUGGAUGAGGUUUAGGGUCCAUCUUUGAUUUUUUUUUAUUGUUGUUUUUCCCUGAAGUGCCAGGCAGGAGCCCCUGAGAGGUGGUGGCACAUCCCAGGCUCAGAGAGGUACCACAGGUGCACCCCUCCCACCCUGCUGAGCUGUGGGCACAAACAGAACUGUCUUUAAAGCUUUUUGGAGUUGUUUUGAUGGAUUUUUAAUGAUUAGUUUUGUUUGGAUAAGGCAGGCACAUGUUUUAUUUAUUUCUUUUUGUAGUUUCACAUGCCAAAUCUGUCAUUUCAAAUGGAAAAAGAAGCUGUAGGGUAAGAAGUGGGUGUGGUUGAAGUACAAAAGGACACUUGGGCUCUGUGUUAACUUGAAGCCUCAGGAUGCUCAGAUCAUGGAGUGUAAAUGUAUUUUAAGUGUCUGUAUUUAAUAUGGAUCAUUUUCCAAACCCCACUUCCCUUUCAAGGGAGUGUGGAACAAAGCAGUAUUACAGGUUAAAAAAACCAAACCAGCAAACAAACAAAAGCCCAGACCCCAAAUAAAGAAAGGUGUGAUUGUUUGCAUUUAUUUACUGAGAACAUACAAUUUUUAUGAUUUGUUUGUUUGGCUGUGAGCUGUGUGUGAGAGCGCAGGGAAAGCGAGCACAGCUCCUCAGGUCAACCCUCCCAUGGCAAAAAAAAAAAAAGAAAUUUCUUUUAAAAACCCUUAAUUUACUUAAAAUUUCACCCCUAGCCCUGAGCAGCCAGGUCAGCUGUGUGGCCAAAUCCAGGGUCUGUGUUCCAGAGGCUCCACUGGCCGUGGUGUUGGGUCCCUCCUUCCUCAGCGGGCACACACAGCUCCCCUAAACCGAGGAGAAAAUGAUCCCAAGAGGAAACCACACACCAAAAGGACUGAAGCCUCUGUGUGGUUUGUGAUAUUGUCCAAAUGCCCUCGAUAUUCCUGUAUUUGAUGCUUCUGUUUGUCCAGUGUACAAGAUCCCUGCAUUUGAAGCGGAAGCUCCGUGUACAAACCCUCGGCGUUCCUCCUCUGGUGUAAAUUUCCAGCCUCCCUUCCCAUGGGAUGGGGAAAACCCUGUAAAUACUCACUUGUGGGCAAUGCAAGUCUGAGAACCAAGGGUUCAUUUUUCUAAUUCCUUAGCCUCAGUUACAAUACUAAUGUAAAAACAAAAGCAGUUUAUUUUUCUAAUGGUCCUGGAAACGUCGAUGCAGCGACAGAAUCGCUGAAAGGGCCCACGGGGAGAGGGGCACAAGGAGCUUCCGUGGGAAGAGGAGAAUGGUUAUUGCUUCCAAGCAUGGAAAAAUCCCAUUUUCUGGAGGAAAUAGUUGUGUUCCAAUGCAGAGACCUGGCAGGCCCUGGGGGAUGCAGAAACGAGGACAGCUGGGAUAUUUUGGGGUUUUCCAGCAUCGGCUCCGGCGCAUGUUCCGUGUCCACUAACGGUUUGAUACGCUCAGUAUGGACUAAAUCCACAUAUCCUGCAUUAAACUCAACUACUCAAACCAAUGUUAUGAGUAUAUUUAUUUCCUGUUAUACCCCUUUUUAUUUAACCUCUAUAGAACAGGACAUUUUUAUUCCAAGCUCAGCUCCUGCAUGGAUUUUUAUCAGCAACAGCAACUCCCGUCUUUCCUCUCGGAGACCGAAUUCCGGGAGCUGCUCUGCUGGGAUGCAGCCAGCCAAGGGGAGAGGGUUUUGUACAAUUCUUGUGAAGAUGCUUCACAUUUCUGUAAAGAUAAAUGAAAAUAAAAGAGCUGCAUGCAGCAACAGGAGA
This is a non-coding RNA of Cyanistes caeruleus (blue tit), 3167 nucleotides long. The record is from RefSeq and is a predicted model, not a curated record. Lineage: Eukaryota; Metazoa; Chordata; Aves; Passeriformes; Paridae.